CAGACAUCACCCCUGCAGCAGCAGCAUCCACUGCUGCACCAGCAGACAUCACCCCUGCAGCAGCAUCCACUGCUGCACCAGCAGACAUCACCCCUGCAGCAGCAUCCACUGCUGCACCAGCAGACAUCACCCCUGCAGCAGCAGCAGCAUCCACUGCUGCACCAGCAGACAUCACCCCUGCAGCAGCAGCAUCCACUGCUGCAGCAGCAGACAUCACCCCUGCAGCAGCAUCCACUGCUGCAUCAGCAGACACUACCACCUCACCUGCAGAAGACACAACACCUGGAGCAGCAGCCACAGCUGAGCCCACCGCAGCUGAAAUCCCAGAGACAGCCUCACCUGCUGCAUCAGUCCCUCCACCUCCUGAAACAGCAGCCAUUGUCACUGCCAAUCCACAGACAAACGCAGCAACUACAGGCUCAGAAGAGCUCGUUCCCCUGCCUAACUAUGUGAAGCUGUUGUUGCUGAAAUACCUAAACCGCCUGUGCCAGCCAAGGAGACCUGGGAUGCCAGAAGUAAUACUGGAAGGGUGUGUAAAGGAUCCAACCUGUGGGAAUCAGCCUUCACCAGGCCAGAGGCUCAUCCAGCUCCGUUAUGGGGCUGCUGUAAACCCCAGACUCUGCCUGAGGUGCAAAGUAUCAGGGUGCAAUGCAUCCCCUCCUCCUCCUCCUGUCAGACCAUUCCCAGGGAACAGGUUCCCUCCUGUCAGACCAUUCCCAGGGAACAGGCUCCCUCCUGUCAGACCAUUCCCAGGGAACAGGCUCCCUCCUGUCAGACCCUUCCCAGUGAACAGGUUCCCUCCUGUCAGACCUUUCCCACGGAACAGGCUCCCUCCUCCCAGACCCAUCCCAUGGAACAGGAGAAGAGCCAGGAGAAGCGCAAGCGAUGUCGUUAUUGUCAUCGUCUCCUAGUAAUGAUGCUUCUGACCAUGACAUUAUGUUGAGCACCUCUAGACCUGUUCAUUGUGUUCCAGAUCUGCUGCUCAUUUCUAAAAAUAUGCUAGUGGGUGUAAAUCUAAAGGUAUUUCAUCUUAAAUGAACUUGGGUUGCUUAAAUUCAGAUCUUUCGAAUCUAUGCGGCGGAUCUUGUAAAAGCCUGAACUUCAAUAAAUACUCUCAGUGACAAAAAAUAAUUGG
Molecule: long non-coding RNA, 1135 nt
Filed under: Zonotrichia albicollis (white-throated sparrow)
Lineage: Eukaryota; Metazoa; Chordata; Aves; Passeriformes; Passerellidae
Description: lncRNA (ENSZALG00000005266.1)
Source: RNAcentral